This 296-nucleotide long non-coding RNA is filed under the name Homarus americanus (American lobster). RNAcentral's name for it is "uncharacterized LOC121859946". Lineage: Eukaryota; Metazoa; Arthropoda; Malacostraca; Decapoda; Nephropidae. The record is from RNAcentral.
GCUUCAGACUCCACCAUCUCCAUCGACUGCGCACAUUCAAUUUAAAGAAUUCCAGGAGGUGCAGGGGUGACGUUCUCCUCCUUGAAGACGGCAAUACAUUAAACAACAGAUUCUGCGGCAACCUUGGAACUCUCAGUGAAGGAGGCGACACUGACCUUUUGAAUAUUGUUUUCAAGACAAACAGAAGAGGAAAAGCUCAAGGUUUCUCCUGUGUUGUGUCCCCUCUGGCAAGGUUCAGACCAUCACCCAAGUCACUACUGACGUCACUGACAUCUCCGUCGACAACGGUCAAUGCU